UACGGGGGGAGCAAGCGUUGUUCGGAUUUACUGGGCGUAAAGGGCGCGUAGGCGGCGAUUGCAAGUCAGUUGUGAAAUCUCCGGGCUUAACCCGGAAAGGUCAACUGAUACUGCAGGGCUAGAGUGCAGAAGGGGCAACUGGAAUUCUCGGUGUAGCGGUGAAAUGCGUAGAUAUCGAGAGGAACACCUGCGGCGAAGGCGGUUUGCUGGGCUGACACUGACGCUGAUGCGCGAAAGCCAGGGGAGCGAACGGG
Molecule: ribosomal RNA, 254 nt
Filed under: uncultured bacterium
Lineage: Bacteria
Description: partial 16S ribosomal RNA
Rfam family: Bacterial small subunit ribosomal RNA
Source: RNAcentral